Molecule: non-coding RNA, 173 nt
Filed under: marine eukaryotic metagenome
Description: 6S / SsrS RNA
Rfam family: 6S / SsrS RNA
About the family: E. coli 6S RNA was the first non coding RNA to be sequenced, but its function was unknown until recently. It consists of 184 nucleotides that fold into an extended hairpin structure with a large single-stranded internal bulge.
Source: RNAcentral
UUCCUGCGGUGUUCGACAGCGACAGUGUGUCUUGUGCCGAUAAGCUAAUGCUAUGGAGAUUGAAAUUAGAUUGGCGUGCAGGCUUGCUAGACGAGAAGCCCGAUAUUUAAUUGAGAUCACCCCUUGAACCCUCCUGGUUCAAGAACCCCGUUCGCAUCGGCACUGCGGGACAU